AUAACAGAGUCCGCUCCGUUACGUUGCAGGAAGCUCAGCAAUCCUGACAUCUUUUCAUCUACUGGGAAAACUAAGCUCCAUCGUCAGCUAAGUCAAGAUGACUGCAAGCUGCGCAGAGGUAGUUUGGCAAGUUCUUUAUCAGGAAAGCAGCUGCUUCCCUUAUCGAAUAGUGUCCACAGUGGAGUGGGACAGACAAUCUGGCAGCCACCUGGAGACACCUCAAACCUGGUCCGCAUGAGAAACCAGUCUCUGGGACAGUCUGCUCCUUCACUUACUGCUGGUUUGG
RNAcentral lists this long non-coding RNA (286 nucleotides) under Gallus gallus (chicken). RNAcentral's name for it is "long non-coding RNA NONGGAT008995". The record is from RNAcentral. Lineage: Eukaryota; Metazoa; Chordata; Aves; Galliformes; Phasianidae.